RNAcentral lists this ribosomal RNA (695 nucleotides) under uncultured bacterium. RNAcentral describes it as "bacterial SSU rRNA". It matches the Rfam family "Bacterial small subunit ribosomal RNA", at positions 10 to 725 of the family's 1533-position model. The record is from RNAcentral.
AGUUCCUUCCUGGCUCAACGCUAACUUUUACCGGCCUGCCUAACACAUGACAGUCGUGGGGCAGCAGGAUACUACCUCUGGUAGUACUGCUGGCGACCGGCUAACGGGUGAUUAACACUUUGUUUACCUACUCCAAGGUUGGGGAUAACCUCCCGAAAGCCCGGCUAAUACUUUAUUAUGAGUAAACUCCAAAGCCCAAAAGGGGCCUUGGGAUGGGGCUGCGUCCUAUCUGCUAGUUGGUGAGGUAAUGGCUCACCAAGGCUACUACUGGUAACCGGUGCUGAGAAGAUGACCGGUCACAAUGGGACUGAGACACGGCCCGCACCCCUACGGGGGGCAGCAGUGGGGAAUAUUGGGCAAUGGCCGAAAGGCUGACCCAGCAACGCCGCGUAGGUGGACGAAGCCCUUCGGGGUGUAAACACGUUUUCUGGGGGAAGACAAUGACGGUACCCCAGGAAUAAGGGACGGCUAACUACGUGCCAGCAAGCCGCGGUAAUACGUAGGUCCCAAGCGUUUCGCGAAAUCACAGGGAGUAAAGGGUCCGUAGGCGGACUGGCAAGUGGAAGGUGAAAUCCUACGGCUCAACCGUAAAAUGCCUUCCAUACUGCUAGAAUUGAGGCAAGGAGAAGUCGGCUGAAUUCCCAGUGUAGCGGGUAAAUUCGUAAUUUCGGGAGGAACCCUGUGGCGAAGGGGGC